Molecule: ribosomal RNA, 497 nt
Filed under: uncultured bacterium
Lineage: Bacteria
Description: partial 16S ribosomal RNA
Rfam family: Bacterial small subunit ribosomal RNA
Source: RNAcentral
GAUGAACGCUGGCGGCGUGCCUAAUACAUGCAAGUCGAGCGAACAGACGAGGAGCUUGCUCCUUCGACGUUAGCGGCGGACGGGUGAGUAACACGUAGGUAACCUACCUAUAAGACUGGGAUAACUUCGGGAAACCGGAGCUAAUACCGGAUAAUAUUUCGAACCGCAUGGUUCGAUAGUGAAAGAUGGCUUUGCUAUCACUUAUAGAUGGACCUGCGCCGUAUUAGCUAGUUGGUAAGGUAACGGCUUACCAAGGCAACGAUACGUAGCCGACCUGAGAGGGUGAUCGGCCACACUGGAACUGAGACACGGUCCAGACUCCUACGGGAGGCAGCAGUAGGGAAUCUUCCGCAAAGGGCGAAAGCCUGACGGAGCAACGCCGCGUGAGUGAUGAAGGUCUUCGGAUCGUAAAACUCUGUUAUUAGGGAAGAACAAACGUGUAAGUAACUGUGCACGUCUUGACGGUACCCAAUCAGAAAGCCACGGCUAACUACGUG